GGUUGACCUCGGAUGCAGGUAGGGAUACCCGCUGAACUUAA
Molecule: ribosomal RNA, 41 nt
Filed under: Penicillium citrinum
Lineage: Eukaryota; Fungi; Ascomycota; Eurotiomycetes; Eurotiales; Aspergillaceae
Description: partial 28S ribosomal RNA
Source: RNAcentral